RNAcentral lists this transfer RNA (109 nucleotides) under Magnetofaba australis IT-1. It matches the Rfam family "tRNA". Rfam says of the family: Transfer RNA (tRNA) molecules are approximately 80 nucleotides in length. Their secondary structure includes four short double-helical elements and three loops (D, anti-codon, and T loops). The record is from Rfam by way of RNAcentral. Lineage: Bacteria; Pseudomonadati; Pseudomonadota; Magnetococcia; Magnetococcales; Magnetococcaceae.
GGGGGUGUGGUGGAAUUGGUAUACACAGGGUCCUUGGUAAGCCGUUUUUGAAAGACGGCUUACCAAGGCCCCGUCUUAGGAUAUGAGGGUUCGAACCCCUCCACCCCCA